This 497-nucleotide ribosomal RNA is filed under the name uncultured bacterium. RNAcentral describes it as "partial 16S ribosomal RNA". It matches the Rfam family "Bacterial small subunit ribosomal RNA", at positions 28 to 507 of the family's 1533-position model. The record is from RNAcentral.
GAUGAACGCUGGCGGCGUGCCUAAUACAUGCAAGUCGAGCGAACAGAUAAGGGGCUUGCUCCUUUGACGUUAGCGGCGGACGGGUGAGUAACACGUGGGUAACCUACCUAUAAGACUGGAAUAACUCCGGGAAACCGGGGCUAAUGCAGGAUAACAUGUUGAACCGCAUGGUUCUACAGUGAAAGGCGGCUUUGCUGUCACUUAUAGAUGGACCCGCGCCGUAUUAGCUAGUUGGUGAGGUAACGGCUCACCAAGGCAACGAUACGUAGCCGACCUGAGAGGGUGAUCGGCCACACUGGAACUGAGACACGGUCCAGACUCCUACGGGAGGCAGCAGUAGGGAAUCUUCCGCAAUGGGCGAAAGCCUGACGGAGCAACGCCGCGUGAGUGAUGAAGGUCUUCGGAUCGUAAAACUCUGUUAUUAGGGAAGAACAAAUGCGUAAGUAACUGUGCGCGUCUUGACGGUACCUAAUCAGAAAGCCACGGCUAACUACGUG